Molecule: ribosomal RNA, 463 nt
Filed under: uncultured bacterium
Lineage: Bacteria
Description: bacterial SSU rRNA
Rfam family: Bacterial small subunit ribosomal RNA
Source: RNAcentral
CUACGGGAGGCAGCAGUGGGGAAUUUUGGACAAUGGGGGCAACCCUGAUCCAGCAAUGCCGCGUGUGUGAAGAAGGCCUUCGGGUUGUAAAGCACUUUUGGCGGGAACGAAACGGCGCUUGCUAAUACCAGGCGCCAAUGACGGUACCCGCAGAAUAAGCACCGGCUAACUACGUGCCAGCAGCCGCGGUAAGACGUAGGGUGCAAGCGUUAAUCGGAAUUACUGGGCGUAAAGCGUGCGCAGGCGGUUCUGUAAGACAGGUGUGAAAUCCCCGGGCUUAACCUGGGAACUGCACUUGUGACUGCAGAGCUAGGGUGUGUCAGAGGGAGGUGGAAUUCCGCGUGUAGCAGUGAAAUGCGUAGAGAUGCGGAGGAAUACCGAUGGCGAAGGCAGCCUCCUGGGAUAACACUGACGCUCGUGCACGAAAGCGUGGGGAGCAAAUAGGAUUAGAUACCCUGGUAGC